RNAcentral lists this ribosomal RNA (254 nucleotides) under uncultured bacterium. RNAcentral's name for it is "partial 16S ribosomal RNA". It matches the Rfam family "Bacterial small subunit ribosomal RNA", at positions 524 to 776 of the family's 1533-position model. The record is from RNAcentral.
UACGGAGGGGACUAGCGUUGUUCGGAAUUACUGGGCGUAAAGCGCACGUAGGCGGAUUUGUAAGUCAGGGGUGAAAUCCCGGGGCUCAACCUCGGAACUGCCUUUGAUACUGCAAAUCUCGAGUCCGGAAGAGGUGAGUGGAAUUCCUAGUGUAGAGGUGAAAUUCGUAGAUAUUAGGAAGAACACCAGUGGCGAAGGCGGCUCACUGGUCCGGUACUGACGCUGAGGUGACGAAAGCGUGGGGAGCAAACAGG